AACGAACGCUGGCGGCAGGCCUAACACAUGCGAGUCGAGCGCCCUUUCGGGGGAGCGGCGGACGGGUGAGUAACGCGUGGGAAUAUGCCCUUCUCUACGGAAUAGCCUCGGGAAACUGAGAGUAAUACCGUAUACGCCCUGUGGGGGAAAGAUUUAUCGGGGAAGGAUUAGCCCGCGUUGGAUUAGGUAGUUGGGGGGGUAAUGGCCCACCAAGCCGACGAUCCAUAGCUGGUUUGAGAGGAUGAUCAGCCACACUGGGACUGAGACACGGCCCAGACUCCUACGGGAGGCAGCAGUGGGGAAUCUUAGACAAUGGGGGCAACCCUGAUCUAGCCAUGCCGCGUGAGUGAUGAAGGCCUUAGGGUUGUAAAGCUCUUUCAGCUGGGAAGAUAAUGACGGUACCAGCAGAAGAAGCCCCGGCUAACUCCGUG
Molecule: ribosomal RNA, 431 nt
Filed under: uncultured bacterium
Lineage: Bacteria
Description: partial 16S ribosomal RNA
Rfam family: Bacterial small subunit ribosomal RNA
Source: RNAcentral